UUAAAAAUUGAGGAGGAGUUGAAUGAUCAGAUAAUUAAUCUUUAUUGUAGUGUACUGCAAAAACGGACGGAUCAGUGUGUACAGAAAGUGUCCCGUGCAGAUUGUCUGAUUCUGACCUCAAUUUUUGAAGGGAGGAAA
Long non-coding RNA from Mytilus californianus (California mussel), 138 nucleotides. RefSeq lists it as uncharacterized. The transcript has 3 exons. NCBI's taxonomy places the organism in Eukaryota, Metazoa, Mollusca, Bivalvia, Mytilida, Mytilidae. The record is from RefSeq and is a predicted model, not a curated record.